AACUGAUCCUAGAUCUUGUCAAGGUGACCGAUGCUGACCAUCGCAGGUGCUGAAUGUGACCACAGUCACACCAUCUCCUAUACAGAAAAGACAACUUCGCUCUCAACUGGGCUGAAUGUCAAGUCCAAGAAUAAAACGAGACUCUGAUCAGAGGGUAACAUGACCUGGAGCAGCUGGGAAAUGGAGUCCUUUUUGGGUCAGGACAGGCUGUUUGGCAGUGUGGUUGAGAAGGCUGUAAAGAGGUCAGAGCCAUCUGGGGAUUAGGGCUGUUCUGGGAAAGCUAGCUCUGGUGGCCAGAGGCCCAGCAGGCCUGAGCUGGACCACCCUUCCACUGGCUUCUGUUGUCUAGUAUGUCCCAGGCCCAACCUGUUUGACAUACCUGAUGUAGUUCAGUGGAUGCCACGGCACUGCAAAACUUGAGCCAGCUCUGUCUCCUUCCUGUCCACUCACCUUCAAGAACGUAAUGAGUUUGUCUCCGUUAAAAUGUUUUAUGGAAGCCCAGUGAUGGUAUCACUGAGGGAAUAAAUCCUCAACUAAUAGAAGUUGAGUGCAAUGUAAAAUAGCAAUUAAUCUCCGUUGUGGAGAAUAAGAAAAAUGAACAAGCCAUUGAUGAAACAUUUAUUAGCAAGAGAGACUGGACAGAUGCCCUGUUCUAAAUGGUGCCUGCUUGGGUUUUCUUGGUUGUGGUUUUGUUGUUGUUGUUGUUUUGUUGUUUUUGCGUUUUGCCCCCUACUUUGUGUGUAUGUGUAUGUUGUGUGUGUGUCUAUUUGGGUAUUAUUCCUCAGAAGCCAUCCUGCUUAUUUGUUUGAGACAGGAUCUAGACCAGAUGUGCUAUAUCAAAUGUGGUGUUCAUGGGCAGGAAAUCUGUCAGGAUAUAUGCUUGCGCCUGAUUGGGCCUGAUGGGAAAUGAGGUGAAUUUGGGUUGUGCCUUUUUAAGCCCCUGCAAAAUAUUACUCAUGUCCAUUUUCUGGGAACCUGUGGGACCAUGAGAGGGAGCCUGUUUUCUGGUCGAGCUAGGUUCAAACCCCAGAGACCCAACAGAUUAAUCUGUAAGGGACAGAAGGCCCGUUUGCCAUGCUCCCAGACAUAGGCUCUUGACAGGAGGACCCAGCUCCAUAAUUCUGUGGCCAUCAGUGUCAUAGGCUGUCCAGACCAGACUCCACCCCCACAGUUACCUGGCAAUAGCCAGGUAUGCUCCCCACCACAGUUACCUGGCAACACCUGGUAGGCCUGGCCCACUAUAAAGGGAACUGCUUGGCCCCUCCUCACUCGCUUGCCUCUCUUGCUUUCUCUCUAGCCCUCUUGCUCCCUCUUCCCUCCCGUUCUCCUUCUCUCCACAUGGCCAUGGCCGCCCUCUGUUUCUCUACUCUUCUCUUUCUCUCUGCCUUUCUACAAUAAACACCUUGAAACC
RNAcentral lists this long non-coding RNA (1411 nucleotides) under Mus musculus (house mouse). RNAcentral's name for it is "long non-coding RNA chr2:154738601-154740012". The record is from RNAcentral. Lineage: Eukaryota; Metazoa; Chordata; Mammalia; Rodentia; Muridae.